Long non-coding RNA from Homo sapiens (human), 2275 nucleotides. Ensembl annotates it as THAP3 pseudogene 1. Its record names the gene THAP3P1. The record is from Ensembl. NCBI's taxonomy places the organism in Eukaryota, Metazoa, Chordata, Mammalia, Primates, Hominidae.
GUUACGGGCAGCCAGGCCUGGCCGGAGAUGCCGAAGUCGUGCGCGGCCUGGCAGUGCUGCAACCGCUACAGCAGCCGCAGGAAGCAGCUCACCUUCCACCGCAGGUGAGGGAGAACACACACACUGCCAGUGAGAGAGGAAAUGCCAGCUCUUCUCAGAAAGAAAAGGUCCUCCCUGAGGCGGGGGCCGGAGAGGACAGCCCUGGGAGAAACAUGGACACUGCGCUUGAAGAGCUUCAGUUGCCCCCAAAUGCCAAAGGCCCCGUAAAACAGAUCUCGCCACGGAGUCCGCAAGCAGCAGAGACUGUUGGCCGGCCGGCCGGCCCUGCAGGCUUGAGAAGGCCCCCCGACAAGCAGCCAUCUGAUCACAGCUAUGCCCUUUUGGACUUAGAUUCCCUGAAGAAAAAAACUCUUCCUCACUCUGAAGGAAAAUGAAACGCUCCAGAAGCGCUUGCAGGCCCAGAGGCUGGUGAAGCGAAGGAUGUCCAGCUGCCUCCGUGCCUGCAAAGGGCACCGGGGACUCCAGGCCAGACUUGGGCCAGAGCAGCAGAGCUGAGCCCCACAGGCUCCGGACGCAGAGGCGGCAGUGGCACCAGGGCCGGCAGGGCUUUGGAGCUCUGGCUGUGGACAUUUUUGUCUGCUGUGGACAUUGAGAAAGUUGGCCGUGAGGCCUGCCGGGCGGGGGAUUGAAACAGUAACCAAGCUCCCUGGCGAGAGCCCCGACGCCGUCUGAAGGACGUUUAGAGGCAUGGUACUAGGACUGAGCAUGACAAGCUUAUCCUCCCAUAGUAACAGAAGUCCAGGCUGAGGCUGAUUCUGAACUCUGUCCUUUCAGCACGCGCAGAGCGAAGGUCGUUGGAAGCCCCAGUAUGGGAGAUGCUCCUCAGGGAGGAAGCCAUGUGAGGGGGCCGGCUCUGUGGCAGAUUUGUUGGAAUCCUGACCAAACUGGAAAAGUGGCAGUAACCAUGGAAAAGUCAAAGACAAAAUGACAGCCAAAUCACACCAGUAAAUAAGUGGAGUGAAGACACGUCUGUUUUCACAGCUGAACACUGGAAAUUGCAAAUUUGAUUGCCACUGGCAUUGGAUGCUGGAACUGCUUCUGUUUUUACUGACACUAGCAUACCGGGAUACUUCGAAGUUGCUGUAGUCUCUGCAAUAUUGAGUGUUGGAAGGUGCUAGAAAAUGAGUGUCUGUCUUUUUUGUCUUUUAUACUGGAAGGCAAUCACCUAGACCUAUGCUGGAGAGUCAUCCUACAAGGUCAUUCAAAUGUACAAUAAACUGGUAUGUGUAUUAGUUACUUAUUACAGUACAAUAAGUUAAUCACAAAUAUGAAUGACUAAAACAAAAAAUGUUUAGUAUCUUGCAGUUUCUCUGGUCAGGAAUGUAUUGGCAGCUUAACUGAGUGGUUCUAGCUCAAGGUCUUUCAUGAAGGACCUGGUAGGGGCUGCAGGCAUCUGCUGUCUUGACAGGAGCUGGGGAAUUUGCUUACACGGUGACCCACUCACAUGGCCAUUGGAAGGAGGCACCAAUUUCCUGCCACAUGGGCCUCUUCGUAGGACUACAUUUGUGUUAUCAUGAUGUAGCAGCUGGCUUCUCCAGCGUGAGUAACGUAAGGGGGAGGAAGACAGGCAGAAGCCACGAUUUUUGUUAUAACUUAGCCUCAUAAACUACAUGUCAUCACUUCUGUCAUAUUUAUUGAUCACAUAAAGCAACAAUGAUAUAAAGAAGAAGAGUAGAGUUUAUUUCAUCACUUACAUUUCAAUUUUGGCUACUUAAUUUUAAUCAUAGAGUCUACAAUAGGGGUUUAUUUUAUUAAUCCAAGUAGUACCAAAUAUUACUCUGAGUUUGUUUAAUUAAUAUCCCUAUGAAUUCCUGGGGUUUCAGUCCACUUUGGGAAGAGGCUAGUUUGUUUUCAUAUCUUAAAAGUGAGUAAUAUCAGCAUUGUUGGUAAUUCUAUACCUUCAUAUUCCCAAAGUAGUAUCAAGCAAAUACAUGGUAAGAGUGAGCAUGAGAAGUUGAUGCUGUUCAGUUAUCUGGAUAGCAGGCUAAGCAUUAUUGAUAGAAAAAUCUGCAGCUAUACUCAGAAAACUCAGAACUUCAUGGCAACUUUUUUUUAAAUUAAAAUACAGUUCUUAAGGUUUCAAAGUUUUAUUUCUGUUUUUGUCAAAUAAAACUGUUCUUUCAGAGACCAAUAGUUAGAGGAAGAAACAAAUUAUAUGGACCUCUGGUACAAUUUCCCAAUCUGUGAGCUACCAGACCUGAGUGUUUUGGUAAGA